CCAAACUGUUGCCUCGGCGGGAUUUCUGCCCCGGGCGCGUCGCAGCCCCGGACCAAGGCGCCCGCCGGAGGACCAAUUUACAAACUCUUUUGUAUAUCCCAUCGCGGAUUCUUUACAUUCUGAGCUUUCUCGGCGCUCCUAGCGAGCGUUUCGAAAAUGAAUCAAAACUUUCAACAACGGAUCUCUUGGUUCUGGCAUCGAUGAAGAACGCAGCGAAAUGCGAUAAGUAAUGUGAAUUGCAGAAUUCAGUGAAUCAUCGAAUCUUUGAACGCACAUUGCGCCCGCCAGUAUUCUGGCGGGCAUGCCUGUCCGAGCGUCAUUUCAACCCUCGAACCCCUCCGGGGGGUCGGCGUUGGGGAUCGGCACUUACCUGCCGGCCCCGAAAUACAGUGGCGGUCUCGCCGCAGCCUCUCCUGCGCAGUAGUUUGCACACUCGCACCGGGAGCGCGGCGCGUCCACGGCCGUAAAACAACCCAAACUUCUGAAAUGUUGACCUCGGAUCAGGUAGGAAUACCCGCUGAACUUAAGCAUAUCAAUAAGCGGAGGAA
Molecule: ribosomal RNA, 548 nt
Filed under: Trichoderma brevicompactum
Lineage: Eukaryota; Fungi; Ascomycota; Sordariomycetes; Hypocreales; Hypocreaceae
Description: eukaryotic LSU rRNA
Rfam family: 5.8S ribosomal RNA (bases 166-319)
Source: RNAcentral